GACGAACGCUGGCGGCAUGCCUAAUACAUGCAAGUCGAGCGAACAGAUGAAGUGCUUGCACUUCUGACGUUAGCGGCGAACGGGUGAGUAACACGUAAGGAAUCUACCUAUAAGCGGGGGAUAACAUUCGGAAACGGGUGCUAAUACCGCAUAAUAUCUUCUUCCGCAUGGAAGAAGAUUGAAAGACGGCUCUGCUGUCACUUAUAGAUGACCUCGCGGUGCAUUAGUUAGUUGGUGGGGUAACGGCCUACCAAGACGAUGAUGCAUAGCCGACCGGAGAGGGUGAUCGGCCAAAUUGGGACUGAGACACGGCCCAAACUCCUACGGGAGGCAGCAGUAGGGAAUCUUCCGCAAUGGGCGAAAGCCUGACGGAGCAAUGCCGCGUGAGUGAAGAAGGCCUUCGGGUCGUAAAACUCUGUUAUAAGAGAAGAACAAAUUGUAGAGUAACUGCUACAGUCUUGACGGUAUCUUAUCAGAAAGCCACGGCUAACUACGUGCCAGCCGCCGCAGUAA
RNAcentral lists this ribosomal RNA (513 nucleotides) under uncultured bacterium. RNAcentral describes it as "partial 16S ribosomal RNA". It matches the Rfam family "Bacterial small subunit ribosomal RNA", at positions 28 to 523 of the family's 1533-position model. The record is from RNAcentral.